RNAcentral lists this long non-coding RNA (204 nucleotides) under Eucalyptus grandis. Its description in RNAcentral is "long non-coding RNA (EGRA_LNC003713)". Lineage: Eukaryota; Viridiplantae; Streptophyta; Magnoliopsida; Myrtales; Myrtaceae. The record is from RNAcentral.
UCAACUAUGAUCAAAUAAAGGAUUCGGUUAUGUCAUAUCCAGCCAAGAGAUCUUCUCCAGUCGAUAAGGCCACAUCCUUAAUGAAACAACCAGUUCUGGAUAGCCUUUCUUCAACGGAUUAGAAACUGUCAAUGAGGAUAGACUUUAAGUCUUGAGUCUGGCUGUUCGGAGGUCUUCAAACUUUAAAUAGCAGAGUCUGCAAGC